UCAUAGAGGGUGAGAAUCCCGUAUUUGGUCAUUCUUUCUAGCUGUGUGAUACACUUUCAAAGAGUCGGAUUGUUUGGGAAUGCAGUCCAAAAUGGGUGGUAAAUUUCAUCUAAAGCUAAAUAUUGGCGAGAGACCGAUAGCGAACAAGUACCGUGAGGGAAAGAUGAAAAGAACUUUGAAAAGAGAGUUAAACAGUACGUGAAAUUGUCAAAAGGGAAGCGUUUGACACCAGUGUUGUUUUUCCGAAAAUCAAUUGUGCCUGGCUGGAUUUUGUAGGAGUUUGACCUUUAUCAGCUUCUUCUGCUUUUUUCCGGUCUGGUGCAAUGCACUUUUCGGUUAACAAGUCAACAUCAAUUUCUUUUGUUGUAAAAGGGUAAUUGGAAGGUGGCUUUCUUUUCGGAGAAAGUGUUUAUAGCCUUUUACCUCUACAAUCGGAGAGAUUGAGGUCUGCAGCGUAGAUCCUUCGGGGUUAGAUACAUUUGUGCUAAGUUAUAGCCGGGUAUAGACAACUUGUUGACUAUACUCGGUCAUGUAGCUUACUCGCUUAUGCUAUUUUACCUACGCUUAGGAUGUUGA
This 576-nucleotide ribosomal RNA is filed under the name uncultured Neocallimastigomycetes. RNAcentral's name for it is "partial large subunit ribosomal RNA". It matches the Rfam family "Eukaryotic large subunit ribosomal RNA", at positions 202 to 629 of the family's 3401-position model. The record is from RNAcentral. Lineage: Eukaryota; Fungi; Neocallimastigomycota; Neocallimastigomycetes.